GAAAAUUGCUGCUACUGCUGACAUUCCAAUGCUGCUCUGUGGCGAUUUUAAUUCAGCGCCUGGAAGUGCUCCUCAUGCACUUGUUUCAAUGGGGAAAGUUGAUCCAAUGCAUCCAGAGUUAGCAGUGGACCCUUUUGGUAUUUUGCGUCCAGCCACAAAGUUAACAUCAUCUGCCAUUGGUAAGUGCUUACACAUCCUUUGCCCGAGUACCUGUGGUUCCUGGACUAGCUCAGAAACGGAGGAAGCUUGAUCCCAGUACGAAUGAACCUUUGUUUACAAGCUGCACCAGAGAUCAUUUUGGGACUCUUGAUUAUAUAUUCUAUUCUGCCGACUCUGUAACAGUUGAAUCGUUGUUAGAGCUCUUGGAUGAGGAAAGCUUGAGAAAAGACACAGCACUUCCUUCUCCAGAG
This 410-nucleotide unclassified non-coding RNA is filed under the name Hevea brasiliensis (rubber tree). The record is from RNAcentral. Lineage: Eukaryota; Viridiplantae; Streptophyta; Magnoliopsida; Malpighiales; Euphorbiaceae.